GCCCGGGUGGCGCAACUGGCUGACGCGGGGCACUUAAAAUGCUCUGCUCCUUCGGGAGCAUGAGGGUUCGAAUCCCUCCCCGGGCA
Molecule: transfer RNA, 86 nt
Filed under: Actinomycetota bacterium
Lineage: Bacteria; Bacillati; Actinomycetota
Description: tRNA-Leu
Rfam family: tRNA
About the family: Transfer RNA (tRNA) molecules are approximately 80 nucleotides in length. Their secondary structure includes four short double-helical elements and three loops (D, anti-codon, and T loops).
Source: RNAcentral